Molecule: ribosomal RNA, 465 nt
Filed under: Vreelandella stevensii
Lineage: Bacteria; Pseudomonadati; Pseudomonadota; Gammaproteobacteria; Oceanospirillales; Halomonadaceae
Description: partial 16S ribosomal RNA
Rfam family: Bacterial small subunit ribosomal RNA
Source: RNAcentral
CCUACGGUGAGCAGCAGUGGGGAAUAUUGGACAAUGGGCGAAAGCCUGAUCCAGCCAUGCCGCGUGUGUGAAGAAGGCCUUCGGGUUGUAAAGCACUUUCAGUGGGGAAGAAAGCCUUGGGGCUAAUACCCUCGAGGAAGGACAUCACCCACAGAAGAAGCACCGGCUAACUCCGUGCCAGCAGCCGCGGUAAUACGGAGGGUGCGAGCGUUAAUCGGAAUUACUGGGCGUAAAGCGCGCGUAGGCGGUCUGAUAAGCCGGUUGUGAAAGCCCCGGGCUCAACCUGGGAACGGCAUCCGGAACUGUCAGGCUAGAGUGCAGGAGAGGAAGGUAGAAUUCCCGGUGUAGCGGUGAAAUGCGUAGAGAUCGGGAGGAAUACCAGUGGCGAAGGCGGCCUUCUGGACUGACACUGACGCUGAGGUGCGAAAGCGUGGGUAGCAAACAGGAUUAGAUACCCCAGUAGUC